RNAcentral lists this ribosomal RNA (253 nucleotides) under uncultured bacterium. RNAcentral describes it as "partial 16S ribosomal RNA". It matches the Rfam family "Bacterial small subunit ribosomal RNA", at positions 524 to 776 of the family's 1533-position model. The record is from RNAcentral.
UACGGAGGGGGCAAGCGUUAUUCGGAAUUAUUGGGCGUAAAGGGCGCGUAGGCGGCUAGAUGUGUCAAAGGUGAAAUCCCUCGGCUCAACUGAGGAACUGCCUUUGAAACUGUCUGGCUUGAGGCCGGGAGAGGGUAGCGGAAUUCCCAGUGUAGCGGUGAAAUGCGUAGAUAUUGGGAGGAACACCAGUGGCGAAGGCGGCCGACUGGUCCGGUUCUGACGCUGAGGCGCGAAAGCGUGGGGAGCAAACAGG